Molecule: transfer RNA, 73 nt
Filed under: Ovis aries (sheep)
Lineage: Eukaryota; Metazoa; Chordata; Mammalia; Artiodactyla; Bovidae
Rfam family: tRNA
About the family: Transfer RNA (tRNA) molecules are approximately 80 nucleotides in length. Their secondary structure includes four short double-helical elements and three loops (D, anti-codon, and T loops).
Source: Rfam by way of RNAcentral
UCCCUGGUAGUCCAGUGAGGAAGACUCCAUGCUUACAAUGUAGGGAACACAGGUUUGAUUCCUGGUCAGGGAA